CAGCCGCCGCGGGAAUACGUAGGGUGCAAGCGUUAAUCGGAAUUACUGGGCGUAAAGCGUGCGCAGGCGGCCAUGCAAGACAGAUGUGAAAUCCCCGGGCUCAACCUGGGAACUGCAUUUGUGACUGCAUGGCUAGAGUACGGUAGAGGGGGAUGGAAUUCCGCGCGUAGCAGUGAAAUGCGUAGAUAUGCGGAGGAGCACCGAUGGCGAAGGCAAUCCCCUGGACCUGUACUGACGCUCAUGCACGAAAGCGUGGGGAGCAAACAGGAUUAGAGACCCCUGUAGUCCCUGUCUCUUAUAU
RNAcentral lists this ribosomal RNA (301 nucleotides) under uncultured bacterium. RNAcentral's name for it is "partial 16S ribosomal RNA". It matches the Rfam family "Bacterial small subunit ribosomal RNA", at positions 509 to 809 of the family's 1533-position model. The record is from RNAcentral.